Long non-coding RNA from Medicago truncatula (barrel medic), 1729 nucleotides. RefSeq lists it as uncharacterized. The transcript has 4 exons. NCBI's taxonomy places the organism in Eukaryota, Viridiplantae, Streptophyta, Magnoliopsida, Fabales, Fabaceae. The record is from RefSeq and is a predicted model, not a curated record.
GGAGCUUUCAUAGAAAUCACAAACACAGAUAGGUCUGGUGGAAGGCUGAGAUCUGUUACUUUCUUGCUUAAGGAUACUAGGUAGGCAAUGUGAUUGCAUUGAACAUAUAGUUACUUUCUCAUGCUUAAUUCAGUUGUAAUUGAUAUGAUUGUUUAUACUGUCAAUAACAACAUGGUUCAUGUGACAUUAUAUGGGAUGAUUUGUGCAAGCAAUUCUUUGAUGGAUUCAAUCAAUUGAAUGGACCGGAUACAAUCUUUCUCAUUGUGAAGCAUGCUAGGGAUAAAGAAGCUCAUGGAAUUUACCCACAAUGUGUCACCAAUACCUGGACUUGUACCAAACUGCUAUGGAAUCAAGAUAUCCCUGAAAUUACUGACUUCAAAACUAGAUUUGCAGCUGCUGAAGUAGAGGAUGACAAUGCAACACAAGCAUUAUCCCAGUUCACCCAAGGAUCCCAAAUUACUGACAAUGCUGAUAUCAUGUCAAGGGCAAACUUUCUCACUCUCAAUGAGGUUAACCAUGUCCAACAUGUAAGUUAUUUUUAGCGUAUAUAGUUGGAACAUGUAUUCAUUAUUAAACGACAUGUUUUUAUUAAUAGACAUGUUCCUUCCUAAGGAAACCAUCUGCGUAACUGUUGCUAAAAUUCAAAAGCUCAACGCAAUGAAAUUUGGAUGGUUUUAUGAUGGAUGUAACUUUUGUACUAUGGGUGUCAAGAUGGAUAAUGGAAAGUUGAUAUGUAACAAGAAACACAACAAUGAUAAUCCAAAAUCAAGGUGGGUGCACACAAUUAAGUACUUAACUUCACAUUAGAUUUUUAUUGUCAUUAGCCUAAUUAUAUAGUUAAUAAUGAUAUUACAAGUACAAGGUUGAGAUUCAAGCUGGACACAAAGACGACAAGGCUAGGUUUAUAAUAUGGGACAAUGAUGUCACCUCCAUUGUUAAGAUAUUUGCAGAAGAUUUGAAGGCUGAAUUGAUUAGGGUAGAUUUUCCAUUAUGGAAUAUAGUUUAAUUUACUUUAACCCUUUGUUUAUUUUGCUAUCUAUCCUUCUUAUGCCAUUUCCAAACUGGUGAGUACCAUCCAAAGUCAUAUCCAAAACCUCUUGACCAACUUGUGAGUCCAAAGAGAGUUUGGAAGAUCAAAAUUGUACCUGGAGGGAAUCCGACAUCAGUUAUACAAUUCAGUGACAACCCACAACUACUAGCUAAUCUAGAAAAACAAUUUGGAUUGGAAGAGGUAUAUAAAUCAAUUGCAUCAGUUGUACUUUCUUUUGGUAAACAUUCAAAUUGAAUUACAUGAUAUGCAUAUGUGUACAAACAAGUUCAAAGUUGGAAAUUAUUGUCUCAGAGAAUGUUGGUCAAGAGAAAGACUACUCAGAUAUGAUAACUAGUCUCAAGCGGAUGAAAAUGAUCCAACUGCUACUUCAGUUACCCCUCCUCCAAAAAGGGUGUCUCAAGAGGAUGCUGAAUGGGUUGGUUGUAACCAAGAUGUGGAGGCUACUCAGCUAUCAUCAACUAAGUUUGCAGAACAUCCCAAGAUCAAACCAGAUAACUAAUCAGCGCAUUCCUAACUUGGACCAACAUCUGCCUUUUUUGGUGUCAGAUACAUGAACUUGGUGUUCUUUUUUGUAUAAUUCCCUACUUUUAGAAAUUAUUCGGGCUAUGUAAUAUUUAACUUUUAUUUCUAAGACCUGAUGACUAAACUGGUAACAUCCAAGUACUCUUAAGUUGAAAC